Molecule: ribosomal RNA, 397 nt
Filed under: uncultured bacterium
Lineage: Bacteria
Description: partial 16S ribosomal RNA
Rfam family: Bacterial small subunit ribosomal RNA
Source: RNAcentral
AUACGUAGGGGGCGAGCGUUGUCCGGAAUGAUUGGGCGUAAAGGGCGCGUAGGCGGCCCGGUAAGUCUGGAGUGAAAGUCCUGUUUUUAAGAUGGGAAUUGCUUUGGAUACUGUCGGGCUUGAGUGCAGGAGAGGUAAGUGGAAUUCCCAGUGUAGCGGUGAAAUGCGUAGAGAUUGGGAGGAACACCAGUGGCGAAGGCGACGUACUGGACUGUAACUGACGCUGAGGCGCGAAAGUGUGGGGAGCAAACAGGAUUAGAUGCCCCGGUAGUCCACACUGUAAACGAUGAAUGCUAGGUGUAGGGGGUAUCGACCCCUUCUGUGCCGCAGUCAACACAAUAAGCAUUCCGCCUGGGGAGUACGGCCGCAAGGUUGAAACUCAAAUGAAUUGACGGGG